UACGUAGGUGGCAAGCGUCGUCCGGAAUUAUUGGGCGUAAAGAGCUCGUGGGCGGUCUGUUGCGUCGGCUGUGAAAUCCCGAGGCUCAACCUCGGGUCUGCAGUCGAUACGGGCAGACUAGAGUGUUGCAGGGGAGACUGGAAUUCCUGGUGUAGCGGUGAAAUGCGCAGAUAUCAGGAGGAACACCGGUGGCGAAGGCGGGUCUCUGGGCAGCAACUGACGCUGAGGAGCGAAAGCGUGGGGAGCGAACAGG
This 253-nucleotide ribosomal RNA is filed under the name uncultured bacterium. Its description in RNAcentral is "partial 16S ribosomal RNA". It matches the Rfam family "Bacterial small subunit ribosomal RNA", at positions 524 to 776 of the family's 1533-position model. The record is from RNAcentral.